This 388-nucleotide non-coding RNA is filed under the name Achromobacter mucicolens. Lineage: Bacteria; Pseudomonadati; Pseudomonadota; Betaproteobacteria; Burkholderiales; Alcaligenaceae. The record is from RNAcentral.
GCCGGAGCCACCGGCGCGGGAGCCGGCGCGACGGGCGCGGGGGCGGGCGCAGCUGCCGGGGCCGUGACGACCGGUUCGACGGCGGGCGCUUCCACCGGCGCCUGCACCGGCGCGGCGGGGACCGAAGCCUCGAUUGCGGGUUGCACGGCGACCGGCGGAGUCGCUUCGGGAGCCGUCUGGACCGGUUGCGCGACGGGUUCAGCCGCGGCUUGGGUCAGGGGCUCGAUCGCGGGCUCAGCCGCGCGCUCAACGGCGGGCUCAGCGGCGGCCUGGACAGGUUCAGCCUUGGGCGCUUGAACCGGUUCGGCCGGGGCUUGCUCGGGCUGCGCGGCGGUCUGCACGGGCUGGGCCGGCGCUUGAACCUGCUGGGCCGGGGCGGGCGCUGCCU